This is a non-coding RNA of Phalacrocorax carbo (great cormorant), 2976 nucleotides long. The record is from RefSeq and is a predicted model, not a curated record. NCBI's taxonomy places the organism in Eukaryota, Metazoa, Chordata, Aves, Suliformes, Phalacrocoracidae.
AAAUCCGGAAUGCCUGGACUGCCUCAAACCAUGGCACGUUGCUGGGCUUCUGUAGUUUCGGCCAAGUCAGUCCCCUCUCUAGAAGGAUGUUCUGCCAGUCCCACCCAAGCAACGUGCAACGUUGUCCUCGCUGCCUCCAUACGGUGUUACGGUAUUAUCACAUCAAUUUGGGGAGUGGCUGCGUAUCAGCCCCCGCAGAUGGGACCGCCCUUCAGUGGGCUGGCUGCAAACAAGAACAGACAGCUCAGGACAUCUGCCGUAAGUAAACCAGGCAGAGGCGGGCUGGGGAGGAGAAGUACAGCAGAUGGGGGCAACAAAUAACACGUGACAGGCUGAGAGACAGAAGAGGAGACUCAGCACUGAGGUGGGCCAAGGAGUGCGGAGAAGCUACGGAGAGACUGUGUGAAGAAAGAGUGUUGGAUAAAAUGGGCAGAAGUGGUGUACAGAGGUCCCAGACGACUGCAUGAGCCGACUGCUGUGUGCAGUCACUUCCCACUGGAGACUUAGCAGCCUCUCCAGGAGAGUGCACCGCAGGCUUCGCUCCACGGAUUUCCUGUUAGGCUACCAGCUGGAGAGCAGGGAUCCUGGUGUCUCAGGUGCUUCAGAGGAGAUCAUUUCCCCAGAAAGGAAAAUGAAGAGGCUGAAUUUGUAAGCAAGAAGCACAGCUCCAAAACCUCAGCACAAAUAGCUUUGGAGGGCAUGGGAAGGGAAGACAUAGGACUGCAUUUUCUUCAGAAGACUUGUCAGAUCACAGGAUGAAUUCCUGUGGUUGAGAUGCAAAAACGUUGAACCUAAGUUAAUAACCCAUGCAGCAUUCAGCCCUCCACUCUUGUACUGUAUAAAAAUUUACCAGUCGUGUUCCAAAACAGCAUAAAAAGAAAUGUCUCCAAUGGAAAGUGCCAUCCUAUCCCAGCUCAAUGUACCUGAUAUCAAGCAAAUUCACUUUCUAAGACCAUUUUAGUUUUCACUUGUAGAACCUAACAGUAUCUGAGUGUUAGACUUAGCCAGGGGUCUAACAGUGGGAUCCUUGCUGUGGAUAUGCAGCUCCACAAACUUGGAGCUGCACUCUACCCACUUCUCUACAUGGCCUCCUACUUAGAAAAGCAGUAUGUUGAUAGGAUGGCUUUUCUUCCUGGAAUACCCACACCCAUCUCCUGCACAAAAUCAGCCAGCAGAUUCUCUCAUGAUAUGCUAGAAGCGGCACAGGAGUUGGCUGAACAGCUGCCAGCUGGGGCUGUAAAUGUGUGUGUGUGUACUGAUAAGGUGUAUCUCCAGUUUUGAAGCAUCAUGUUAUAACUGUCAAGCUGUGCAGAUAGCACAAACACAACGAUUCCUACAGUCCCUGUUCCAGCGAAGAUCCUCUUGACUGAAAGUCCUGCCUACAUCGGCUUUUGCACCUAAGACCAACCGGGUGACUCAUUCCGCUGGGCUGAGGCCUCAGCAAAGCCAGUUAGGACUCUGCAUAUAUGUGACAUGCUGGCCUUGAUGGGGAAGGAGGAGCCACCUCCUUGUAUUGUUCUUUUAGGAAGCACAAACUUGCUCAGAAAAACUGUAGAACUUAAUGGGUCCUACCCUGCCACUCAGCUGGUGACCUCAAGUAAGAGUGGGAACACUGGAAACCCCGGUCUAACAAAGGGGGAGUAACUGUUCAUGCAGAAGAGCCACUGGAAGGAUGCAAAGUCAGGAAAGGCAGCAGAGGAAGUUUGAAAUGUGAAGGUGGCGAUUAGCAAAUGAAUGAUGAGCUGGUACUACAGCCCUCUCUGAUGUCUGGGCAGUCAAGGACCUGGUGAUAAGAGCCUAGGAGAGCCAAUCGUACCUGCAAUGAGCUGCAGUCCUGACUACGAGCAUGGAUAAUGCAGAACAUCCCUUGAGCACAUGGACUGAACCAGGCAAGGCUCACGGGAAGCAGAGAAAACAAGCUAUAGCUUUUCAGCAAGAAACUGGAUCCAGGUCAAUCACACAAUUAAGAUGCUAGCAGAUUCCUCCAUGACCAGAUCACUCACUUGGGUAAACCUACAGAGCCAUGCUGAUCUAUGCUCACUGAGAUCAUGUGCUGCACCAUAUUUAUUGAUGAAUACUGAUUUGGACCCCAUUUCUGCCCUCAGCCAAGCAUGUAUAACUCCCAUAAGAGGCAGUGUAUGCAGCAGUUGGGAGAAAGAAAAACAGCUCAGAUGCCAGGGGAAGGAAGUUACAGACUCCACACAAGGAAAAAGUGGUACAGCCUGAUUCAUUUUAUAUCUCCUAAAAAUGUUCAUAGAAGAAUGUGUUGCGAGGGGUAUGACUGCAUGGGAUCAUACUGAUCUGAAAGUAGUGCAGGGAGGUUGGCUCAGAAGACCCGUGCGAACUGGAGAACAGAACAAGACAUGCUAUGACCACCAGAAGGCAGAGGCAUGUAGUACUGCAAGAUCACUGUAUGCCAGGUUGUAUUCUUACGUUUUUUUCUACAAGCUUUUGCCACUACCCACUGUUAAGAGACAGGUUAAUGAGGAAGUGGACUUUGCCUUGACUUUAUAUGGUCUUACAUCCCUCAGACCAAAGCAGCCAGCACUACCGAGUGAAUUGGCAGUUCUAGAUACAAGUUCCUGUUGUCUCCAGGUGUGCCGGGGUAGCUCCAAAGAGUCACCACGGAGGGAGACUGAACUUCGCCUUGGUGACAGGUCAGCCGCACAGAAUGUGAAAAGAAGAAACAUGUUCUCCCUGCGGCUGGUGGUGAACUGGUUUAACCCCGAUGUUCAUCGUCCCGAGCAGAUCUGACACAGGCUGUGCUUGUGCACAAGAAGGUGUCACAUUUUGUUGGCAGGCAAGGGAGAACCUCGUACCGAUCAAAGUCAGUUGUAAUCUUCCCUCUGUGAGAGACUGGCAUUGCUUUUGCACCCAAACAUGUGCGUCACACUGGAUUGCCAUAUUCUUGGAGGAGAAUAGAUGGGGAAGAUUUUAUUUAGAAGUCAUUCUUUUUAAUUAAAAGUAAAAGCUUGA